This is a non-coding RNA of Solanum lycopersicum (tomato), 103 nucleotides long. The record is from Rfam. Lineage: Eukaryota; Viridiplantae; Streptophyta; Magnoliopsida; Solanales; Solanaceae.
GUCCCGUUGGGGACAUCCGAUAAAAUUGGAACGAUACGGAGAAGAUUAGCAUGGCUCCUGCGCAAGGAUAACACGCACAAAUCGAGAAAUGAUCCAAAUAUUU